CCUGGCCUUGACAUACUAAGAACUUUCCAGAGAUGGAUUGGUGCCUUCGGGAACUUAGAUACAGGUGCUGCAUGGCUGUCGUCAGCUCGUGUCGUGAGAUGUUGGGUUAAGUCCGCAACGAGCGCAACCCUUUUCCUUAUUUGCCAGCGGGUCACGCCGGGAACUUUAAGGAUACUGCCAGUGACAAACUGGAGGAAGGCGGGGACGACGUCAAGUCAUCAUGGCCCUUACGGCCAGGGCUACACACGUGCUACAAUGGUCGGUACAAAGGGUUGCUACCUCGCGAGAGGAUGCUAAUCUCAAAAAGCCGAUCGUAGUCCGGAUCGCAGUCUGCAACUCGACUGCGUGAAGUCGGAAUCGCUAGUAAUCGCGGAUCAGAAUGCCGCGGUGAAUACGUUCCCGGGCCUUGUACACACCGCCCGUCACACCAUGGGAGUUUGUUGCACCAGAAGUAGGUAGUCUAACCGCAAGGAGGACGCUUACCACGGUGUGGCCGAUGACUGGGGUGAAGUCGUAACAAGGUAAGCGUAGAUGA
RNAcentral lists this ribosomal RNA (535 nucleotides) under uncultured bacterium. Its description in RNAcentral is "bacterial SSU rRNA". It matches the Rfam family "Bacterial small subunit ribosomal RNA", at positions 974 to 1509 of the family's 1533-position model. The record is from RNAcentral.